UGCUACACAGUGAGAUCCGAGUUGGUCCUCCAUCCAAGGUCUGCCAAAUUGUAGAGGUUUGUGCACUGCUGCACAACAUCUGCAAAGCAAGAAACAUCAUUCUUCCUGAGGAAGAAGAACAUCUUGCUGCAGCCGAGGAUGGAGGCAACGAGGAGCGACUCUAGCACAGAAAGUUCAAAGUCGCCAUGAAGUAAUCCUUUACAGGGAUGAAUUUGUUGUGCUUCACUUCAACAUUGAUGAGUGAUGAGACACCAGUGUCAUGACUGCUGAGAUUGGUGUUAUUCUCAUGUGGAUGAUCUCCUCAUCCACAAACACCAGUGAUAUACCAGGCAAGUCUGGCCCCUCUUGGUGCUGCAAGUGGUGUGGCAGGUGCCUCCUCCUCAACACCUACUGCCUCGGUCACCACUUCUCUCUGUUGGGCUGCCUCUGCCACUUCCCCAGCAUCAUCUGCUGCCUGCACACUGCUGGCAUCAUUAGUUCUAACUUCAGAAACUAAGCUGAUAAUGUUUUUGGUUUUAUUGCUAAGGACAAAAGUAACAGAAACCAGUAAAUCUAGCUAAGGGUA
Long non-coding RNA from Portunus trituberculatus (swimming crab), 565 nucleotides. RefSeq lists it as uncharacterized. The record is from RefSeq and is a predicted model, not a curated record. The transcript is spliced from 3 exons. Lineage: Eukaryota; Metazoa; Arthropoda; Malacostraca; Decapoda; Portunidae.